GCCCGCCUAGCUCAAUCGGAUAGAGCGUCAGACUCUUAGGGCGGGUUUCCUUACAAUCUGAAGGCUGCGAGUUCGACCCUCGCGGUGGGCU
Termitomyces sp. J132 is the source of this 91-nucleotide transfer RNA. It matches the Rfam family "tRNA". Rfam says of the family: Transfer RNA (tRNA) molecules are approximately 80 nucleotides in length. Their secondary structure includes four short double-helical elements and three loops (D, anti-codon, and T loops). The record is from Rfam. Lineage: Eukaryota; Fungi; Basidiomycota; Agaricomycetes; Agaricales; Lyophyllaceae.